GACGAACGCUGGCGGCGUGCCUAAUACAUGCAAGUAGAACGCACAGUUUAUACCUUAGCUUGCUCCACCAUAAACUGUGAGUUGCGAACGGGUGAGUAACGCGUAGGUAACCUGCCUGGUAGCGGGGGAUAACUAUUGGAAACGAUAGCUAAGACCGCAUAAUAUUAAUUAUUGCAUGAUAAUUUAUUUAAAGAUGCAAUUGCAUAACUACCACAUGGACCGACGUUUUAUUAGCUAGUAUGGGAGGUAACGGGGCACCUAGGCGACGAUAGACAGCCGACCUCAGAGGGUGCGCGGCGAAACUGGGAUGGGGGCACGGCCCGCACUCCUGGGGGAGGGAGCCGUCGGGAAUCUUCAGGAAUGGAAGCAAGGGUGAACGAGGAACGCCGCGUGAGUGAAUAAGGUUGUCGGAUCGUGAAACUCUGGUGUGAGAGAAGAACGGGUGUGACAGUGGAAAGUUCACACUGUGACGGUACCUUACCAGAAAGCGACGGCUAACUACGUG
This 505-nucleotide ribosomal RNA is filed under the name uncultured bacterium. RNAcentral's name for it is "partial 16S ribosomal RNA". It matches the Rfam family "Bacterial small subunit ribosomal RNA", at positions 28 to 507 of the family's 1533-position model. The record is from RNAcentral.